RNAcentral lists this ribosomal RNA (250 nucleotides) under uncultured bacterium. RNAcentral's name for it is "partial 16S ribosomal RNA". It matches the Rfam family "Bacterial small subunit ribosomal RNA", at positions 524 to 773 of the family's 1533-position model. The record is from RNAcentral.
UACGGAGGAUCCGAGCGUUAUCCGGAAUCAUUGGGUUUAAAGGGUCCGUAGGCGGCCCCGUAAGUCAGCGGUGAAAUCUCCCGGCUCAACCGGGAAACUGCCGUUGAUACUGCGGGGCUUGAAUUGCCGGGAAGUAACUAGAAUAUGUAGUGUAGCGGUGAAAUGCUUAGAUAUUACAUGGAAUACCGAUUGCGAAGGCAGGUUACUACCGGCGUAUUGACGCUGAUGGACGAAAGCGUGGGGAGCGAAC